Molecule: transfer RNA, 72 nt
Filed under: Trichonephila inaurata madagascariensis
Lineage: Eukaryota; Metazoa; Arthropoda; Arachnida; Araneae; Nephilidae
Rfam family: tRNA
About the family: Transfer RNA (tRNA) molecules are approximately 80 nucleotides in length. Their secondary structure includes four short double-helical elements and three loops (D, anti-codon, and T loops). Further hydrogen bonds mediate the characteristic L-shaped molecular structure. tRNAs have two regions of fundamental functional importance: the anti-codon, which is responsible for specific mRNA codon recognition, and the 3' end, to which the tRNAs corresponding amino acid is attached (by aminoacyl-tRNA synthetases). tRNAs cope with the degeneracy of the genetic code in two manners: having more than one tRNA (with a specific anti-codon) for a particular amino acid; and 'wobble' base-pairing, i.e. permitting non-standard base-pairing at the 3rd anti-codon position.
Source: Rfam by way of RNAcentral
GGGGGUAUAGCUCAGUGGUAGAGCAUUCGGCAGGAUAUCGAGAGUUCGCCGGUUCAAACCCGGAUGCUCCCU